AACACCGGCGGCCCGAGUGGUGAUCGUGAUUAUUGGGUCUAAAGGGUCCGUAGCCGGUUUGGUCAGUCCUCCGGGAAAUCUGAUAGCUCAACUAUUAGGCUUUCGGGGGAUACUGCCAGACUUGGAACCGGGAGAGGUAAGAGGUACUACAGGGGUAGGAGUGAAAUCUUGUAAUCCCUGUGGGACCACCUGUGGCGAAGGCGUCUUACCAGAACGGGUUCGACGGUGAGGGACGAAAGCUGGGGGCACGAACCGGAUUAGAUACCCGGGUAGUCCCAGCCGUAAACGAUGCUCGCUAGGUGUCAGGCAUGGCGCGGCCGUGUCUGGUGCCGCAGGGAAGCCGUGAAGCGAGCCACCUGGGAAGUACGGCCGCAAGGCUGAAACUUAAAGGAAUUGGCGGGGGAGCACAACAACGGGUGGAAGCCUGCGGUUUAAUUGGACUCAACGCCGGACAACUCACCGGGGGCGACAGCAAUAUGUAGGCCAAGCUGAAGACUUUGCCUGAAUCGCUGAGGAGUGGUGCAUGG
RNAcentral lists this ribosomal RNA (527 nucleotides) under uncultured archaeon. RNAcentral's name for it is "bacterial SSU rRNA". It matches the Rfam family "Archaeal small subunit ribosomal RNA", at positions 472 to 997 of the family's 1478-position model. The record is from RNAcentral.